This 63-nucleotide transfer RNA is filed under the name Sarcophilus harrisii (Tasmanian devil). It matches the Rfam family "tRNA", at positions 5 to 66 of the family's 71-position model. Rfam says of the family: Transfer RNA (tRNA) molecules are approximately 80 nucleotides in length. Lineage: Eukaryota; Metazoa; Chordata; Mammalia; Dasyuromorphia; Dasyuridae. The record is from Rfam by way of RNAcentral.
AGGUGGCUCAGUGGAAAGAGUGUUGGGCUUGGAACCUAUAAGGUCUGAGUUCAAAUCCAGCCU